This 63-nucleotide microRNA precursor is filed under the name Ornithorhynchus anatinus (platypus). Its description in RNAcentral is "microRNA oan-mir-7434 precursor". Lineage: Eukaryota; Metazoa; Chordata; Mammalia; Monotremata; Ornithorhynchidae. The record is from miRBase by way of RNAcentral.
UGUUUCCGCUGUGCCAUUUGUGGAAAGAGUUUAGAAUCUACAAAUGUUACGGACAAAGAUGGG